Molecule: ribosomal RNA, 497 nt
Filed under: uncultured bacterium
Lineage: Bacteria
Description: partial 16S ribosomal RNA
Rfam family: Bacterial small subunit ribosomal RNA
Source: RNAcentral
GAUGAACGCUGGCGGCGUGCCUAAUACAUGCAAGUCGAGCGAACAGACGAGGAGCUUGCUCCUCUGACGUUAGCGGCGCACGGGUGAGUAACACGUGGAUAACUUACCUAUAUGACUGGGAAAAUUUUGGGAAUCCGGCGCUAAUACCGGAUAAUAUUUUGAACCGCAUGGUUCAUUUGUGAAAGACGGUUUUGGUGUCACUUAUAGAUGGAUCUGAGCUGCAUUAGCUAGUUGGUAAGGUAACGGCUUACCAAGGCAACGAGGCGUAGCCGAAGAGAGAGGGUGGUCGGCCACCUGGGAACGGAGACACCGACCAUGGUACUGCGGAAGGCAGCAGUAGGGAACCUUACGCAAUGGGCGAAAGCCUGACGGAGCAACGCCAAGUGAGUGAUGAAAGGCUUCGGAUCGUAAAACUCGGUUUUGAGGGAAGAACAAAUGUGUAAGUAACUAAGCACGUCUUGACGGUACCUAAUCAGAAAGCCACGGCUAACUACGUG